Long non-coding RNA from Gasterosteus aculeatus aculeatus (three-spined stickleback), 345 nucleotides. The record is from Ensembl. Lineage: Eukaryota; Metazoa; Chordata; Actinopteri; Perciformes; Gasterosteidae.
UAAACCGGUAAUAACAAACACCGACGCGUCUGGCGUUUGUCUCGAUCAACACCGGUGUCGCUUCUAUCCGUUUGACACAGUCACGUGACGACCUUUUUGUUUGGUCCGCUUUUUUCCCUGACAACAGUUGGCUUCUAUUCCAGAACUGAAGUGCGCUAUCGUCCCACGCUUAAGCCUCGAUGGUCCCCACCCGCCUCUCAGCUGACUUCCUAAAUAAAAAAGCCUAAGCAUGCUGCCACGGAGCUCCUUGGCGUGCAGCAACUGAGGAGGAGGAGGAAGAGGACAUGGAGUUUGGGAAGAGCCAUCAGGACGCCACGGCGAAGGAUUUGAUGGAUCUGAGCAACC